This 398-nucleotide ribosomal RNA is filed under the name Microsporidium sp. Mic4. Its description in RNAcentral is "SSU rRNA". It matches the Rfam family "Microsporidia small subunit ribosomal RNA", at positions 410 to 809 of the family's 1311-position model. Lineage: Eukaryota; Fungi; Microsporidia. The record is from RNAcentral.
ACCUGCUCCGAUGGUGUCUAUGGUGAAUGCUGCGGUUAAAAUGUCUGUAGUUGAGUGAGAGCGUGUAUGAGCGGAAUGCGGGCGAGCAAGGGCCGAGGAGCUUGUAUGUGUGAGGGGAGCAACGGAGGGGGUGCACCGGAUAGCUGGGCGAGAGGUGAAAUGCGAAGACCCUGGCAGGACGAGCGGAGGCGAAGGCAGUGUGCCAUGACGAGUGCGGUGAUCAAGGACGAAGGCCAGAGGAUCGAAAUCGAUUAGAUACCGUUUUAGUUCUGGCAGUAAACGAUGCUGACGGGACGACACGUGUGUGUUGUGCAGGAGAAAUUGAGUAUGUGGGCUCUGGGGAUAGUAUGUUCGCAAGGGUGAAACUUGAAGAGAUUGACGGAAGGACACCACAAGGA